AGGGAAUCUUCCGCAAUGGGCGAAAGCCUGACGGAGCAACGCCGCGUGAGUGAUGAAGGUUUUCGGAUCGUAAAGCUCUGUUGCCAGGGAAGAACGUCUUCUGGAGUAACUGCCAGGAGAGUGACGGUACCUGAGAAGAAAGCCCCGGCUAACUACGUGCCAGCAGCCGCGGUAAUACGUAGGGGGCAAGCGUUGUCCGGAAUUAUUGGGCGUAAAGCGCGCGCAGGCGGCUGUUUAAGUCUGGUGUAUAAUCCUGGGGGUCAACUCCGGGUCGCACUGGAAACUGGACGGCUUGAGUGCAGAAGAGGAGAGUGGAAUUCCACGUGUAGCGGUGAAAUGCGUAGAGAUGUGGAGGAACACCAGUGGCGAAGGCGACUCUCUGGGCUGUAACUGACGCUGAGGCAUGAAAGCGUGGGGAGCAAAC
This 424-nucleotide ribosomal RNA is filed under the name uncultured bacterium. Its description in RNAcentral is "bacterial SSU rRNA". It matches the Rfam family "Bacterial small subunit ribosomal RNA", at positions 356 to 773 of the family's 1533-position model. The record is from RNAcentral.